The submitters of this non-coding RNA (63 nucleotides) gave its source as unclassified sequences. The record is from Rfam.
CGGCUAAUGCGGCCAGACCUCACGGUCUGGGUGUCACAAGCCACCACGAACGCAGAGUGGCCG